AGAGUGAACGCUGGCGGUAGGCCUAACACAUGCAAGUCGAACGGCAGCACGGUAAGAGCUUGCUCUUAUGGGUGGCGAGUGGCGGAUGGGUGAGGAAUACAUCGGAAUCUACCUUUUGGUGGGGGAUAACGUAGGGAAACUUACGCUAAUACCGCAUACGCCCUUCGGGGGAAAGCCGGGGACCAGCAAUGGCCUGGCGCUGAUAGAUGAGCCGAUGUCGGAUUAGCUAGUUGGUGAGGUAAUGGCUCACCAAGGCGACGAUCCGUAGCUGGUCUGAGAGGAUGAUCAGCCACACUGGAACUGAGACACGGUCCAGACUCCUACGGGAGGCAGGCGAGUAGGGGGAAUAGUUGGACAAGUGGGCG
RNAcentral lists this ribosomal RNA (365 nucleotides) under uncultured soil bacterium. RNAcentral describes it as "bacterial SSU rRNA". It matches the Rfam family "Bacterial small subunit ribosomal RNA", at positions 26 to 377 of the family's 1533-position model. The record is from RNAcentral.